Molecule: ribosomal RNA, 497 nt
Filed under: uncultured bacterium
Lineage: Bacteria
Description: partial 16S ribosomal RNA
Rfam family: Bacterial small subunit ribosomal RNA
Source: RNAcentral
GAUGAACGCUGGCGGCGUGCCUAAUACAUGCAAGUCGAGCGAACAGAUGAGGAGCUUGCUCCUCUGACGUUAGCGGCGGACGGGUGAGUAACACGUGGAUAACCUACCUAUAAGACUGGUAUAACUUCGGGAAACCGGAUCUAAUACCGGAUAAUAUAUUGAACCGCAUGGUUCAAUAGUGAAAGACGGUUUUGCUGUCACUUAUAGAUGGAUCAGCGCCGCAUUAGCUAGUUGGUAAGGUAACGGCUUACCAAGGCAACGAGGCGUAGCCGACCUGGUAGGGUGAUCGGCCACACUGGAACGGCGACACGGUCCAGACUCCUACGGGAGGCAGCAGUAGGGAAUCGUACGCAAUGGGCGAAAGCCUGACGGAGCAAGCCCGCGUGAGUGAUGAAGGUGUCCGGAUCGUAAAACCCUGUUAUUAGGGAAGAACAAAUGUGUAAGUAAAUAUGCACGACUUGACGGUACCUACUGAGAAAGCCACGGCUAACUACGUG